Molecule: long non-coding RNA, 657 nt
Filed under: Mus caroli (Ryukyu mouse)
Lineage: Eukaryota; Metazoa; Chordata; Mammalia; Rodentia; Muridae
Description: lncRNA (MGP_CAROLIEiJ_G0003086.1)
Source: RNAcentral
GAGAAUGGAGAAAGCCGGGAGGAGAAGCCGGAACCAAGGCGGAGAGCAGGGGUGCGCAUGCGUAGGGAGGGCACGCGGGCUCCCCGCCCCCUUCCCCAGAGGGGCGGAACAGGGGCCUUAAGUGACGUUUGUCAUUGUGUUAGAGGUAACUAGGGACCGCGGGGAAGGGGCGGGCUCGAGCUGACGAACUGGAUAUGUCGACGCUGCAGCACUCCACAGACAGAAUUCAAGGCCAGCCUGGUGUGUGUGUAACAAGUUCCAGGCCAGCAAGAGCUACAUGAUGAGACCCUACCCAGUGAUUGUAAGAAUUCCAAAAUUCAGGAUAACAAUGCUGGUCUCAGCAUGUAGCCCUGCCUGGAAAUCCUGCCUCAGAGUCUAAAGUGCUGGGUGACAGGUUUGAGUCACCAUAAGUGCUGAAGUAUCUUUAUCCCCAGAAACAAAAAGGAGGCCCCAUCCCAUAGCUAAUAUCCGCAGAGUAUGUCUGCACCUCACUUUGGCAAACACAGCCACGCCAACCCAGCAAUGCCACUUCCAGGAAUUGAUCCUCACAAACACAGAGUGGCUCUGACACGGGAGUUAUUUAUUGCAGUGUGGUUUGUGAUAUUAAUGUAGAAAUACGUUCCAUCAAUAAAGAUCUUUCAGUUAACAUUAGUCACC